This 339-nucleotide ribosomal RNA is filed under the name Mantidactylus jahnarum. RNAcentral's name for it is "partial 16S ribosomal RNA". It matches the Rfam family "Bacterial large subunit ribosomal RNA", at positions 2018 to 2523 of the family's 2925-position model. Lineage: Eukaryota; Metazoa; Chordata; Amphibia; Anura; Mantellidae. The record is from RNAcentral.
GUCUCCUUUUUCUAAUCAGUGAAACUAAUCUCCCCGUGAAGAAGCGGGGAUAUUCAUAUAAGACGAGAAGACCCCAUGGAGCUUCAAACCCAAUUACACCCCCAACUUCUAUAACUACUGAACUUUAAGGGCCCUGUACAAUUGGUUUUAGGUUGGGGCGACCACGGAGUACAAUAAAACCUCCAUAAUGAACGGAAUUAAAUCCUUAUCUAAGAAAUACACCUCUAAGAAUUAAAAUAUUAACAUAAAAUGAUCCACUUUUUGAUCAAUGAACCAAGUUACCCUGGGGAUAACAGCGCAAUCCAUUUCAAGAGCCCCUAUCGACAAAUGGGUUUACGA